UACAUAGGGAGCGAGCGUUAUCCGGAAUUAUUGGGUGUAAAGGGUGCGUAGAUGGGAAUGUAAGUUGGUUGUGAAAUCCCUUGGCUUAACUGAGGAACUGCAACCAAAACUGUAUUUCUUGAGUGCUGGAGAGGUAAGUGGAAUUCCUAGUGUAGCGGUGAAAUGCGUAGAUAUUAGGAGGAACACCAGUGGCGAAGGCGACUUACUGGACAGUAACUGACAUUGAGGCACGAAAGUGUGGGUAG
Molecule: ribosomal RNA, 245 nt
Filed under: uncultured Eubacteriales bacterium
Lineage: Bacteria; Bacillati; Bacillota; Clostridia; Eubacteriales
Description: uncultured Clostridiales bacterium partial 16S ribosomal RNA
Rfam family: Bacterial small subunit ribosomal RNA
Source: RNAcentral